UACAGAGGGGGCAAGCGUUGUUCGGAAUUACUGGGCGUAAAGGGCGCGUAGGCGGCCCGCUAAGUCGAACGUGAAAUCCCCGAGCUCAACUCGGGAACUGCGUCCGAUACUGGAUGGCUUGAAUCCGGGAGAGGGAUGCAGAAUUCCAGGUGUAGCGGUGAAAUGCGUAGAUAUCUGGAGGAAUACCGGUGGCGAAGGCGGCAUCCUGGACCGGCAUUGACGCUGAUGAGCGAAAGCUAGGGGAGCAAACGGG
RNAcentral lists this ribosomal RNA (253 nucleotides) under uncultured bacterium. Its description in RNAcentral is "partial 16S ribosomal RNA". It matches the Rfam family "Bacterial small subunit ribosomal RNA", at positions 524 to 776 of the family's 1533-position model. The record is from RNAcentral.